Molecule: transfer RNA, 67 nt
Filed under: Haliplus lineatocollis
Lineage: Eukaryota; Metazoa; Arthropoda; Insecta; Coleoptera; Haliplidae
Description: tRNA-Trp
Rfam family: tRNA
About the family: Transfer RNA (tRNA) molecules are approximately 80 nucleotides in length. Their secondary structure includes four short double-helical elements and three loops (D, anti-codon, and T loops).
Source: RNAcentral
AAGGAUUUAAGUUAAAUAUAAACUAAUAGCCUUCAAAGCUAUAAACAGAGGAAAGCUUUAAGCCUUA